This 1592-nucleotide ribosomal RNA is filed under the name metagenome. Its description in RNAcentral is "SSU rRNA". It matches the Rfam family "Eukaryotic small subunit ribosomal RNA", at positions 182 to 1801 of the family's 1831-position model. The record is from RNAcentral.
GCUUGUCAUUUGCUGGAAGGAAUGCAUUUAUUAGAUAAAAAUCAACGGGUAUUUAUACUCUUGAUGAUUCAUAAUAACUAAGCGGAUCACUCCUAGUGAGUGACAAAUCGUUCGAUUUUCCGCCCUAUCAACUUGUUAGUAGUGUAGUGGACUACUAAGGUUACAACGGGUACGGAGGAUUAGGGUUCGAUCCCGGAGAGGCAGCCUGAGAAACGGCUACCACAUCUAUGGAUGGCAGCAGGCGCGAAAAUUACCCAAUUUCGACAUGAAGAGGUAGUAACAAAAAAUAACAACUCCGAGACAUUACUGUUUUGGAUAGGAAUGACAGAGUUCUAAAAACCCUUUCAAAUGCAAUUGGAGGGCAAGUCUGGUGCCAGCAGCCGCGGUAAUACCAGCUCCAAGAGUGUAUCUUAAUAUUGUUGUGAUUAAAACGCUCGUAGUUGAAUUUCAGAGUGAUUAUAGUAUAAUAGCUUUGCUAUAUAACUAUAUAUCACCCUUUAUCGUUUCUGAAUACACUUAUUUCAUUCAGUUGAUUUAUUUGGAUUUAGAACAUUUACUUUGAGCAAAUUCGAGUGCUUCAAGCAGGCUUAACGCCUUGAAGACAUUAGCAUGGUAUAAUAACAUAGACCCUUUAUCUAUUUUGUUGAUUUAGAUUUAGGGUAAUUGAUUAAUAGAAACGGAUCGGUGUCAUUCGUAUUUCAUUGUCAGAGGUGGAAUUCUUAGAUUUAUGAAAGACGAACUUCUGCGAAAGCAUUUGACAAGGACGUAUUCAUUAAUCAAGAACGAAAGUUAGGGUAUCGAAGCCGAUUAGAGACCGACGUAGUCCUAACCAUAAACUAUGCCGACUGGAGAUUUGAAGACUCCUCUAUUAGGAUCUUUGAGCAUCCUAUGAGAAAUCUAAGUUAUUAGGCUUCAGGGGGAGUAUGGUCGCAAGGCUGAAACUUAAAGAAAUUGACGGAGAGGCACACAAGGCGUGGAUGCUGCGGUUUAAUUUGACUCAACACGGGAAAGCCUACCGGUGCACGACGUUAUGAGGAUUGCCAGGUUGAAGUCCUUGCAUGAUUUUUCGGAUGGUGGUGCAUGGCCGCUCUUAGUUGGUGGUGUGAAUUGUCAGGUCAAUUCCGAUAACGAACGAGAUCUCCAUCCUAAAAUAGAUUUGUUAAUACAUGUAUUAAUAUAAAAAUCUUCUUUAGGAGACUCAUUAUGGAAAUAAUGGGAAGCUGGAGGCAAUAGCAGGUCUGUAUGCCCCUAGAUGUACCGGGUUACACGCGUCAUACAAUGGUCUUAACAAAAAGCAAUUACCCUUAAUCGAAAGAUUUGGGAAAUCUUCAAAAUGAGACCGUAUCUUGGAUAGCGGAUUGCAACUACUUCCCUUGAAAUAGGAAUGCCUUGUAAUUGUAGUUCAUUAAACUACAAUGAAUAAGUCCCUGCCUCUUGUACACACCGCCCGUCGCUCCCUCUGAUUGGAUGAUAAGGUGAAGCGAACGGACUGUCUCUAUAGUAUAGCACCUCUUAGCGGUUGUGUUUUCUAUUGUAGAUGGAAAGUUAACUGAAUCUUGUUAUCUAGAAGAAGGAGAAGUCGUAACAAGGUU